RNAcentral lists this ribosomal RNA (314 nucleotides) under uncultured eukaryote. RNAcentral describes it as "partial 18S ribosomal RNA". It matches the Rfam family "Eukaryotic small subunit ribosomal RNA", at positions 1470 to 1796 of the family's 1831-position model. The record is from RNAcentral.
CCCCUAGAUGUUCUGGGCCGCACGCGCGCUACACUGAACAGUUCAACAAGUCUUAACCUUGGCCGAUAGGUCUGGGCAAUCUUUGAACGCUGGUCGUGAUGGGGAUAGACUUUUGCAAUUUUUGGUCUUCAACGAGGAAUUCCUAGUAAACGCAAGUCAUCAACUUGCAUUGAUUACGUCCCUGCCCUUUGUACACACCGCCCGUCGCACCUACCGAUUGAAUGGUCCGGUGAAGCCUCCGGAUUGGCGCGCACCUCGGUGCCGCCGAGAAGUUGGCUAAACCUUACCAUUUAGAGGAAGGUGAANUCGUAACA